UUACAUUUUUUUUAACAAAUUAAUUAGCACUUUUUGUUGCACAUGCAUCUACGACGAAAGCCCUGGCAUUGGCCUCCGGUGAAUUUCUCCACUUUGCAAGUGUUUUUACAGUUGGUAGACGAAAAGCACAACCCCUUGAACUUGCCGCUCGCAGCCUCACAUGUCCUUUCCUUAGCUACCUUGUCUGACUUACUCCUUGCCUCAACACCCAUUGGUCCCAUCUCUGUAAAAUCAAAUUACAUUAAAUAUAAAAAUCAGCUUUUUGUCAAAUAAGAUGUUUUAUUCAAAACAUCAUAAGAAGUUAAUUAUUAAAAAGAGGUAUAAUUACCGGUAGCAGCGAAAAGCAGGACAAGAACGAAGGCAGCUGAAACAAGACGCAUAGAAUGCUCCAUUUGAAUAUAUGUUUCUUUGGUGUGUGAUAUGUGUGUUUGUGUGUGUGUGCUUGUGUAUGAUAAGAGAGAUCUCAAUCGCUAAUGCAAAGAACAAUAACCAUGGAAGACUUAUUAUAUAGGGGAUAUAUGGCAGAUUAAAGAGGAUUGAUCUCCGUAAAGAAAGGUAGCUCCACGCCCAAAAUAAAAGGUUGAAAUAUUCAGCUUAAUUGGCACCAUAAACCAAAUUCCUAUUUUUAUUGACUAAGUUCUCCAAACUACAAUUUUCUAUGCACAUUAGGUUCUCUUUUUCAAGCACAUUUAACAUUUCCUUUAAAAUAAUAUUUGGGUUAUAAGCACAUUUGGCUUAUUAUUCAGAUUUUUAUAUGUAAACGAAGCGCCAUAUAUAUCUCAUCGGAAAGACCAUAGUUCUUAUAACGAUAUAAUUUUUUUUUUAAAUUUUUUUGUUUGUUUAUACCAUAAUAAUUUAAAUUAUAUAGAUAAGGAUUUGAACAUUAGGUAUAGAGAAGAUUAUUACGUUACAUUAGCUAACUUGGCUAAGCCUAGUAAAAUGAAUUUAAAAGUAGAAUAGUGGAGGAAAUAAUGAUUAAUUAUAUUUCAAACAUAGGACAUUACAAAGACUUAAAUUUGUUGACAAAUAAAGAAGUUACAUAUAGCAUGUCAUAUUGUAUAAAAUAAUUCAUGACGGUGCUACUUAACAAACAAGAACAUUAGAAACCAUAACAACGAUACAAUAUUAACAAUCCAACUAUGACUUGGGUCAUUUAUUUAUUCCGGCUAGCUCCACACUAGUACCAAAGUACAUAUGUCCAUGAACACACUGUUAAUUAAGUGAUUAGUGAUCAGCUUAUCAAUAGCUUAAUUAAUUAGCUAAUUAACAAUGUCCAGUGCAAAAGCAUAUACGGCGUAAUUAAGCCACGACAGUGGCCUCUGGGGUGUAAGAAGGAUGAAGUUCAAAAGUGUGAUCCAAAUGAAGAGACUAUCAAUGGUUAAAAUAAAAGCCAUGUCAAAAGAUUAAAUCAGCUAAAAUACAUUUAGUUAGUUAGUUGGAAUCUGGAGAGGUUAGAUAACUUGGUUAGAAGAAGUUAGUUGAGAUAAGGAGGUUAUGAAUUACUUGCUUCACAAGUCUUGUAGCUGAACACAUAUAUAAGUGAGCGUUGUAAAUCAUACGGUAUUAAGAAAGAAAGCUUUUAUCUGAUAUACAUCUCUAUCUCUUUUUCUCUCUCUGUUCAACCUUUUCUAUUUCUCUCUGUGAAACUAUCUUAACAUGGUAUCAGAGCCGGACGAUCCGGUGCUUCCGCUUCCUACACAUUUUCUUCUCUUCUCUACCCUCUAGUUUGCAUCUUUCUGUGAUAUUUGGCGUUGGAAACAUACCAGUCGCUUCGAAGGUUGGUUUCUUCUCGUUUGCCCACCAACUGUUUGAUCAAAAGUCUCAAUCAAAGUUCGUCACGCAAAUCUGCAAAAUGGUCACUGCUGCUCAAUUGCAAAUUGUUCAGUUUCCUAUUACUGGUCUUCUCUCCACCGUCUCCACUUCUGUUACAGUAAAACUCGAUGAUUCAAACUAUCUUACAUGGAGCUUUCAAGUUCGAUUGCUUCUGGAAAGUCAUGGCAUUAUGGGGUUUAUCGAUGGUUCACGAAAGUGUCCACCAAGAUUCAAUGAAGAUUCUAACACUGAAGGGAUUGAAACUGAUGACUAUUUAGUCUGGAAAAUGCACGAUCGUGCACUAAUGCAAUUGCUCAUAGCCACAUUAUCAACGACUGCCAUUUCAUGCAUCAUUGGGUGCCAGAGUUCUGCAUAAAUGUGGUUGAAUCUUACUGAGCAUUUUUCUGCGGUGACAAAAGCUACAAUCUUUCAGAUGAAGACAGAGCUUCAGAAUAUCAAGAAAGGGUCUGAAUUCGUUUCUGUUUAUCUUCAAAAGAUUAAGGAUGCAAGGGAUUAUCUUGCUGCAGCUGGAGUAUUAUUUGAUGAUGAAGAUAUCAUUAUUCUUGCAUUGAAAGGAUUACCUUCAGAUUUCAACACGUUCCGAUGUGUGAUCAGAGGACGGGAAAAUGGAAUAUCUCUCAAAGAUUUCAGGUCUCAACUUUUGGCAGAAGAAGCAAUCAUCAAUCAAUCGUUUGACAGUUCUCCUGGUUUGUCCUUUGGUAGUACUAUGGAGGACCAAGUUCUGCCAGUCAUAGUCAAGGGUCUACUCACGGUAGUGGAUCGUAUAACACUUUCAAUGGUGGUUAUCACACUUAUGGUAAAGGGAGUUCUUUCAGAGGCAGAGGGAAAGGCCGUCUUCAGUACAAUUCAACUCCAAGAUUUUCUAAUGGUAAUCCCGGUAUUCUUGGUACUCCAAAACCAUACCAGUCCUACUGUCCGGAUCACCCAUCAGAAAUCCCCACCUGUCAAAUAUGCAACAAAAAGGGUCAUGUUGCUGCAGAUUGCUUCCAAAGACAUAACACCACCGCCUCAAACUCUCCUAUUCAAUGCCAGAUAUGUUGGAAAUAUGGACACUCAGCCCUUCAAUGCUACCACAUGAGUAAUUUUGCCUAUCAAGGGCGGCCCCCAACUCCUAAUCUCACAGCUAUGCAUGCAAAUCAUCAACCUUCAGCACCAACUUAGCAAUUUUGGAUUGCAGAUACUAGGGCUACAUCACACAUGACCUCUGAAUUGGCAAACCUGGAUCUAUCUACUCCAUAUCAAGGGUCCGAUACAAUUACUACUGCUAGUGGUGCAGGUUUGCAUAUUUCAAAUAUUGGCACUUCUACAUUGGUUGCCCCACAUCAUUCUCUCACUCUUAAGAAUGUUUUACAUGUUCCAAAGCUUUCCCAGCAUUUGUUAUCAAUUUAUCAACUAUGCAAGGACAAUAAGUGUCGAUUCAUUUGUGAUGAUGUUUCUUUUUGGGUUCAGGACAAAUCCACAGGGAAAAUACUCAUCCAGGGGCUGUGUAAAGCUGGUUACUAUCUUAUACCUUUCAUCUCAUCCCACAAGCAGUCAUCCUCAUCAUCUGCAUCUCAUUCAUGUUUCCUUGCAAAACCGGUUCAUUCAAGUAUAUGGCACAAAAGGCUAGGGCACACAUCCAACGCAAUUACUUCUGCAAUCCUUCAUCAAUCUCAAGUUUCUGCAUCAUUAGAUACAUGUUCAUCACCUUGUACACCAUGUUUAGAGGGCAAAUUUACCAAAUUACCUUUUCGUAUUCCUGUUUCUAAAUCUGUACACCCUUUAGAGAAAAUCCACAGUGAUGUAUGGGGCCCUGCUCAUUUGCUAUCUUAUGAAGGAUUUAGAUAUUAUGUAACCUUCAUAGAUGAUUGUACUCGUUAUACAUGGAUUUUUCCAUUACGAAAUAAAACAGAAGUCUUUGCAACCUUUGUUCAGUUUCAUGCUUAUUUGAGUACCCAAUUUUCUGCUGUAGUCAAAAUAUUCCAAAGUGAUGGUGGUGGUGAAUAUACAAGUAAUAAGUUUCAACAGUUUUUGGCACAACAUGGCAUUUUACAUCACAAAUCAUGUCCUUAUACACCUGAAUAGAAUGGUUUAGCAGAACGAAAACAUAGGCACAUUGUCGAAAUUGCAAUCACCUUUAUUCAAACUGCAAAACUGCCUAACCAAUUUUGGGUUCAUGCUUGUGCUACUGCUUCUUAUCUGAUCAAUCGAAUGCCAUGUGCUUUAUUACAUAUGAAAUCCCCUUUUCAAAUGCUAUAUCACACUGUUCCUGACAUUAAACAUCUCCGAGUCUUUGGUUGUGCGUGUUUUCCUCUGCUAAAACCAUACAAUACCUCUAAAUUUCAGCCUAAAACAGCCACUUGUGUGUUUUUGGGAUAUGCUAGUCAAUACAAGGGCUACAUAUGUCUUGAUUUUAUUACGGGCAAAUUAUAUGUCUCUAGACAUGUGUUGUUUGAUGAAGCUAGUUUUCCAUACUCAAAUCCCAUAUUUUCUUCUUCUUUUCAAAUGUUUCCUGCAUCAUCUCAGUUACAUUCAUCACAAAGUCCAGUGCAUCCACCAUAGUUCACACCAAUCAUUACAUUAUCAAAUCAAGUAUCAUCACCCUCAUCUCAUUCAUUAUCAUCUCCGACCACAGAAUCUUUGCCUAUGCAUUCAUCUAGUGCUUCAGAAUCUCUUUCUGCAUCUCGAGCCUCAAAAUCAUUGGAUACAGUUGCAUCUCGAGCCUCAGAGUCCAUUUCUUUACCUUCCCAUGAACACACUGCAGUACAUGCACCCAGGGACUUAUCACCAAAUCCCAUGCCCUUCUCUAGUGUUGGUACAUAGCACCCUAUCCAUGUGGAUCCUGAUUUUCACCCUGAGAGUCUAAGUGUGGUUUUACCUAUACCACUGAAUGUUCAACCUAUGCAGACAAGGUCGAAGAAUGGGAUGUUCAAACCGAAAGUGUUUUUAGCCACAGUUACUUCUGAACCUAAAACAUUUAAAAGUGCAACACUGAUUCCUGAAUGGCAUCAUGCAAUGAAAGAGGAAAUAUCAGCUCUUCAUUCUCAAAAGACUUGGACUUUGGUACCCUUACCACCUGCUAAGAAUUUAGUCGGGUGUAAAUGGAUUUACAAAAUCAAGAAACAUGCAGAUGGCUCCGUGGCAAGGUAUAAGGCACGGCUUGUAGCACAGGGAUAUAGUCAAGAAGAGGGAGUUGAUUACUUAGAGACUUUUAGUCCGGUAGUGAAACCUACAACUAUACGACUGAUAUUUGCCUUAGCUGCUCAAUUCAAGUGGACUCUUUGGCAGUUAGAUGUUAAAAAUGCCUUUCUCCAUGGCAUCCUUUAAGAGGAAGUGUAUAUGGUGCAGCCUCCGGGGUUUGAAAGUACAUCACAUCCCUCAGACUAUGUUUGCAAACUUCACAAAUCAUUAUAUGGCCUAAAGCAGGCUCCUCGAGCCUGGAAUGAGCGAUUUACCAGUUUCUUACCCAGUUUGGGAUUUCAGGUAUCCUCGGCUGAUCCGUCUUUGUUUGUACAACAGUCUACAAAGGGCACUCAACUAAAAUACAUAUAGUUAGUUAGUUGGAAUCUGGAGAGGUUAGAUAACUUGGUUAGAAGAAGUUAGUUGAGAUAAGGAGGUUAUGAAUUACUUGCUUCACAAGUCUUGUAGCUGAACACAUAUAUAAGUGAGCGUUGUAAAUCAUAUGGUAUUAAGAAAGAAAGCUUUUAUCUGAUAUACAUCUCUAUCUCUUUUCUCUCUGUUCAACCUUUUCUAUUUCUCUCUGUGAAACUAUCUUAACAUGGGGAAGCCCUCAGUUUGGCAAACAACAACAUAAUUACUUUUUCUCACGUAGGUUCCCAUGAAGCGAUUAGUUUGAGACUCCAUGUCCUACCCUCAACAACCAUCGUCCGUUUAAACAAUUAUCAAAACAAAAUAUGGUAAAUAUGAAUGCUUAAAAUCGUAAUAAUAUAUGUUAACAAUGAAAUUGAGUAACAAUAUUGAGGAAGAAGAAGUAUUACUGGUGGCCACCAAAAGCAACAGGAAGACGCAGGUAGUUGGGAGAAAACGCAUGGACCGUUUUCUAUGUAUCUGUAACAAGUUUGUAGUUAAGAUUUCAAACUUAGGGUAACUCAGAAUGAUAUUAUUGAUAUAUAUAGGUUCUUAUAAAUUCAUAAUAUAGGAAUACCCAAGGAUGAAACCAAAGAUCUAUAUGGACAUGGGCAUCCUAUAAAACAAAAUCAUACAUAUUAAAAAGCUCAAGAAUUUACUAACAAAACACAUAUAUUAACCCAUAAAAUUUUUCGUAUAACAUAUUACAAUAUCACACGACGCAUUUUCAAGUUUUGAAAGUAUUGCAUGACAAUUUCAUUACCAAUACCAUCAAAUAUCUCUUCUUCUUUUUUAAAUAUCCAUGUUAUUAUUCAUCCAUAAUUUCCUUCUGAUUUUUGAAUUGAUUAUUUGAAAAUUUCAUAGCUUAAAAUGCUCUAUCACGUAAAAUUACUAUAUGUACAAUUUUUUUCACAAAAAAAACUGAGUUGGGGCAUCCGCCUCUUGGGCCCAAGGUGGCUCCGUCCUUAGCAAUACCACACAUGCUAUGUAGAGAAGUGAGAGAAAAAUAUGAAAGUGUUUUUUUUUUUCAAAAAAAAUGUGGAAGAGUCUUUUGAAAUGUCAUCAAGAAAACAUUAUCUUAAAAGACCAUUUCUUCUAAAAUAAAGUAAAAAACAAUUAAUUAAGUCCUUGCUUAAAAGUUGCUUAAGCAACUUCGAACCUUUACUAAUUUUUUUCUGGUGCAUCAACCUCACCUUGUCUUACAUAUGCUGUUACCGGUUUAAAAGUCAAAAGAAUAUAAUACAACCGAAGGUGUGGAUAAAAAAGUACAUUUGAAAUUGACAAUGUGACUUAACAAUUUUUGAGAUACAAAUUAAAGUAAUGUGUUGAAUCCAAGUACACUAAGUGAAAUAUUUUCAACAAUGCCUUGUCAAAAUGGCAAAAAAGUUUCGUUAUUAGCAUUUGACGAUAAUUAUCAUGCACUCUUUCUUAAUGGAAAGACAGUAAACAAAAGAAGAGUAUGUGGUGAUUAUCUGGAAUGUUAGCAAUAACCCUGAAGAAAAAUAUGAUAAUAGGCGAUUAAAAAUGCAUAAGGUGCGGUGAAAAUACUAAACAAUACAUAAAAAUAAUGAUCCUUGGAGGGUCAUUCAAUUUAUUAGCAAAAGCAAGCCUGUGGAUACAUGGUCAUAUCAAUCAAUUUCAUUACACAAGCACAAUCUCCACACAAAUUACAGUUCUAUUUAUACCAAAUCAAUUAGCACUUUUUAUUGCAUAUGCAUCUACGACGGAAGCCAUGACAUUCGCCUCCAAUAAAUUUUUCCGUUUUGCAGGUGUUUUUACAGUUGGUAGACGAAAAGCACAUCCCCUUGAACUUGCCGCUUGUAGCCUCGCAUGUCCUUUCCUUAACUGCCUUGCCUGACUUGCUCCUUGCCUCAACACCCAUUGGCCCCAUCUCUGUCAAAUCGAAUUACAUUAAAUAUAAAUAUUUUGUUUUUUGUCAAAUGAGACUCUUUAUUCGAAACAUCAUAAGAAAUUAAUUAUUAAUAAGAGAUAUAAUUACCGGUAGCGGAAAAAAGUAGGACAAGGAUGAAGGUGGCUGAAACAAGACGCAUUGAAUGCUCAAUUUGAAUUUAUUUGUAUGUGAUAUGUGUGCUUGUGUAUGAUAAGAGAGAUCUCAGACGCUAAUGCAAAGAACAAUAACCAUGCAAGACUUAUUAUAUAGGAAUCUAGGGCAAAUUAAAGAGUGUUGGUCUCCGUAAAAAGAGGUAGCUUAUACUUAACCAACAGUGAAUUAUUUCAGCUAGUUCCACACUAGCACCAAAGUACAUGCGUCCAUGCACCCACUAAUAAUUAAGUGAUAAGUGACCAGCUCAUCACUAGCUUAAUUAAUUAGAUAAUUAACAAUUUUUUUGUGCAAAAGCAUCUGCGGCUUAAACCCAAGAACGACCACCAGUAAAGCCCUUAGUUUGGGAAACAACUGCAAAGUUACUUUUACUCACGCAAGUUCCAUUGAAGCGGUUAGUCUUGAGAUUCACAGGUUCUACCUUCAGCAACUUUUCCUCCUUUAAACAAUUAUUCCAAACAAAAUAAGGUUACAAUGCAUGCUUAUAAUCAUGUAUAAUACAUACAUACAUAUAUAUAUAUAUAUAUUCAUACUACAGCAAUACAUCAGGGACGAAGUUUGAGAUCGAUUUGACUCGGGAUAUCUUAAAAAACAAAGUCAUAAAUUAAAAGGCUUAAGAAUUAACUAACAAAGGACAUAUAUUAAUCCAUAAAAUAUUUCAUACAACAUAUUACAAUAUCUCACAAUGCAUUUUAAGUUUUGAAAGCUUUGCAUAACAACUUCAUUACCAAUACCUUCAAAUAUCUAUUCCUAUACAAAUAACCAUGUUAUCAUUCAUCCAUUAAUUUUCUUACGAUUUCUCAAUUGAUCCUUUAAAAAUUUCAUAACCUAAAAUGCUCUAUCACUUGAAAUUAUAAUAUGCAAUAUGUAUGAUUUUUUCACAAAAAACCGAGUUAGGGCAUCAGCCGCUUGGGCCGAAGGUGGCUCCAUUCUUGGCAAUACUCCACAUACUAUGCAGAAAAAUGAGAGAAAAUUAUGAAAGUGUUUUAAGAAAAAAAAAAUGUGGAAGAGUUUUAAAAUGUUAAUUAACAAGAAAAUAUUAAUCUUUAAGGACUAUUUCUUCUAAAAUAAAAUAAAAUAAAAAUAAACAAUUAAGUCUUUUCUUAAAAGUUCCUUAAGCAAUUUCGAACCUUUUCCUAAUUUUUUUUCUUGUGCAUUAACCUCACCUUGUCUUACAUAUAUUACAACUGGUUUAAAGGUCAAAAGAACUUAAUACAAUAGAAGGUGUGGCUAGAAAAGUACAUCUGAAAUCGACAAUGCGACUUAAAUAAUCUUUGUGACACAAAUAAAAGUAAUGUGUUGAAUCCAAGUAUACACUAAGUGAAAAAUUUCAACAAAAUGCCUUGUCAAAAUGAAACAAAAAAAAUUGUUAUUAGCAUUUAACAAUAAUUAUCUAUCACUCCUUCUUAAUUGAAAGUCAAUAAACAAAAGAAGAGUCUGUGGUGAUAAUCUGGAAUGUUAAUUAUAACUCUGAAGAAAAACAUAUAGGAUAAUAGGCGAUUAAAAGUACGUAAGGGGCAGUAAAAACACUACACUAGACAUAUGAAUAAUGAUCCAUGCACGGUCAUUCAAUUUAUUAGCAAAAGCAACCAUGUGGAUACAGGGCCAUAUCAAUCCAUCGCAUUACACAAGCACGGUUUCUACACAGAUUACGUUUAUUUUUAACAAAUUAAUUAGCACUUUUUGGUGCACACGCAUGUACGGGUCAAGCCACUACAUUUGCCUCUGGUGAAUUGCUCUUUUCUGCAGGUGUGUUUACAAUUGUUGGACGAAAAGCACAACCCUUUGAACAAGGUGCUCGGAACCUCGCAAAUCUUUCCCUCAAUUGCCUUGCUUGACUCAGUCCUUGCCUCAACACUCAUUGGCCCCAUCUCUAAAGAUCAAAAUUUUUUUUGUUAAAAAAGAUGCUUUAUUCGAAACAUCAUAAAAAAUUAAUGAUUAAAAGGAGGUAUAAUUACCGGUAGCAGCAAAAAACAUGACAAGAAUGAAGGCGGCUGAAACCAGACGCAUUGAACGCUCCAUUUGAAUCUGUGUGUUUGUGACUUGAACUGUGUGUUUCUGUGUGUGUGCUUGUGUGUGAUAAGAGAGAUCUUAGACGCUGAUGCAAAGAACAAUAACCAUGGAAGGCUUUUUAUAUAAGGAUGUAGCGCAACUUAAAGAGGAUCGGUCAGCGUAAAGCGAGGUUGCUCCACACCCAAAAUACAAAGUUGAAAUUUCCAACCUAAGAGGCACCGUAAACAAAAUUUCUAUUUUUGAUGACUAAGUUAUCCGCCAUACAUUUUUCUAUGCAUAUUAGGGUUUCUUUUUCGAGCACAUUUAACUUUUGCUUUUAAAAGAAUAUUUGGGUUUUAACUUUUAAGCAAAUUUGACUUAUUAUUCACAUUUUUAUAUGUAAAUGAAGCGGCAUAUAUAUAUCUCACAUAAAACACCAUAGUUCUUAUCAUGAUUUGCACAUUAGGUGUAGACGAAGAUUAUGUUGCUUUCGGUAACGUGGUUAAGCCUAAUAAAAAGGGAACUUUAACGAAAAACACCCGGUACUGUUCACUUUAACGAAAAACUACAUUUUUACACUAAAAAGUCAAUCAUGGUACUAUUCACUUUACCCUUUAUUUUGUCCUUAUCAUUAAAACUCAAAGUUUUCAAGCCCUUUUCAUUAGUUUUCCUUAAUAUGUUAAAGUAGAACCUUGAGGAAAUGAUGGUUAAUUGUAUUUUGUAGGGCAUUACAAGGAAUUAAAUUUGUUGAUAAAUAAGAAGUUACACAGUACGACAUACUGUACGAAGUAACUCAUGACGGUGAUACUUAAUAAACAAAAAUAUUGUCCGUUUAUCGUACAUCGUGCAGUCAGUUUUUAUUAAGUACUAUUUAUGUUUAUUGUUAAAUAAAAAUAUUUAAAAUAAUUUCUGACCGCACAAUGUACGAUGAACAGACACGAAAAACCAUAACAGAGAUACGAUAUUAAUUAAUAACCCAACAGUGAAUUAUUCCAGCUAGUUCCACACUAGCACCAAAGUACAUGCGUCCAUGCACCCACUAAUAAUUAAGUGAUAAGUGAUCAGCCCAUCACUAGCUUAAUUAAUUAGCCAAUUAACUAUUUUUUUGUGCAAAAGCAUCUGCGGCAUAAACCCAAGAACCAGCCACUAGGGAAGCCCUUAGUUUGACAAACAACUACACAAUUACUUUUACUCACGCAAGUUCCAUUGACGCGGUUACUCUGAAACUCGCAGGUCCUACCCUCACCAACUGUCGUCCAUUUAAACAAUUAUUUCAAACAAAAUAAGGUUACUAUGCAUGCUUAUAAUCGUAAUAUAUAUAUAUAUAUAUAUAUAUAUAUAUAUAUAUUAACGAUGAAGAUAGUUAACAAGAUCGAGCAAGAAGAAAUACUACCGCUUGCAACCAAAAGUAGCAGGUAGAAGCAGAUAGUUGGGAGAAAACGCAUGGAACGCUCUUUAUGUGUAUAUAACUAGUUUACACUUAAGAUUUCGAACUUAGGGUAACUUAGAAUGACACCAUUGAUAUAUAUAUAUAUAUAUAUAUAAGCUCUUAUAAAUUCAAACAAUAGCAAUAUAUCAGGGAUGAAGUCUGAGAUCUAUAUGAAUUGGGACAUCCUAAAAAAUAGUCAUACAUUAAAAAGCUUAAGAAUUACAAUAUCACACAACGCAUUUUUAAGUUUUGAAAGCAUUGCAUAACAAUUUUAUUACCAAUACCAUCAAAUAUUUGUUCCUAUAAAAAUUACAAUGUUAUCAUUCAUCCACCAAUGUUUUUACAAUCUCUCAAUUGAUCAUUUAGAAAUUUCAUAACCGAAAAUGUUCUAUUAUGUGAAAUUAUAAUAUGCAAUAUAUACAAUUAUUGCAUCAGCCCCUUGGGCCCAAGGUGGCUCCGUUCCUGGCAAUACCACACAUACUAUGCAGAAAAGUGAGGGAAAAAUAUUAAAGUGCUUUAGGAAAAAAAAUAUGGAAGAGUCUUUUAAAAUGUUACCAAGAAAAUAUCAAUCCUUAAGGACAAUUUCCUCUAAAAUAAAAUAAAAUAAAAAUAAACAAUUAAGUCUUUGCUAAAAAGUUGCUUAAGCAAUUUCGAACCUUUUCCUAAUUUUUGUUUUCUCGUGCAUCAACCUCACCUUGUUUUACAUAUAUUACUACUGGUUUAAAAGUCAAAAGAAUAUAAUACAACAGAACGUGUGGAUAGAAAAGUACAUCUGAAAUCGACAAUUCAUGCGACUUAAAUAAUCUUUGUGACACAAAUUAAAGUAAUGUGUUGAAUAUAAGUACACUAAGUGAAAAUUUUAAACAAAAUGCCUUGUCAAAACGGAAAAAAAAAAUUGUUAUUAGCAUUUGACUAUAAUUAUCCAUCACUCUUUCUUUAUUGAAAGUCAAUAAACGAAAGAAGAGUAUGUGGUGACUAUCUAGAAUGUUAAUAAUAACCCUAAAGAAAAACAUACAAGAUAAUAGGCGAUAGUAGGCGAUUAAAAGUACAUAAGGCGCGGUGAAAACACUACACUAGACAUAUGAAUAAUGAUCCAUGCAGGGUCAUUCAAUUUAUUAGCAAAAGCAACCAUGUGGAUACAGGGUCAAAUCAAUUCAUAGCAUUACACAAGCACGGUCUCUACAGAGAUUACAUUUCUUUUUAACUAAUUAAUUAACACUUUUUGGUGCACAUGCAUGUACGGGUCAAGCCACUACAUUUGCCUCUGGUGAAUUGCUCCUUUCUGCAGGUGUGUUUACAGUUGUUAGAGGAAAAGCACAACCCCUUGAACAAGGUGCUCGGAACCUCACAAAUCUUUCCCUCAACUGCCUUGCUUGACUCAGUCCUUGCCUCAACACUCAUUGGCCCCAUCUCUAAUGAUCAAAUAUUUUUUGUUGAAUAAGAUGCUUUAUUCAAAACAUCAUAAAAAUUUAAUUAUUAAAAAGAGGUAUAAUUACCGGUUGUGGCCAAAAGCAUAACAACAACGAAGGCGGCUGAAACAAGACGCAUUGAACGCUCCAUUUGAAUCUGCGUGUAUGUAAGUAUGUGCUUGAUCCGCGUGUUUCUGUGUGUGUGCUUGUGUGUGAUAAGAGAGAUCUUAGACGCUGAUAGAAAAAAAAAUAACCAUGGAAGGCUUUUUAUAUAGGGGUCUAGCGCAUAUUAAAGAGGAUCUGUCUCCAUAAAGCGAGGUAGCUCCACACCCAAAAUACAAAGUUGAAAUUUCCAACUUAAGAGGCACCAUAAACAAAAUUUCUAUUUUUGAUGACUAAGUUCUCCGCCAUACAUUUUUCUAUACAUAUUAAGGUUUCUUCUUCAAGCACAUUUAACUUUUGCUUUUAAAAGAAUAUUUGGGUUAAGCACAUUUGACUUAUUAUUCACAUUUUUAUAUGUAAAUGAAGCGGCAUACAUACAUACAUACAUACAUACAUACAUACAUAUAUAUAUAUAUAUAUAUAUCUCACAUAAAAGACCAUAUUUGUAUGUUUUUUACACAAGUUUUGGUCUGUCUGUACCAAAUUAAUCUAAAUUAUAUAGAUCAGGAUUUGCACAUUAGGUGUAGACGAAGAUUACGUUGUUUUAGGUAACAUGGCUAAGCCUAAUAAAAAAGGAAAACUAUAAAAAUGGCUUGAAAACUUUGAGUUUUAAUGAUAAUGACAAAAUAAAGGGUAAGGUGAAUAGUACAUAAUUGACUUUUUAGUGUAAAAAUGUAGUUUAUUUUUCGUUAAAGUAAACAGUACCGGGAGAUUUUCGUUAAAGUUCCCUAAUAAAAAUGAAUAUUAAAGUAGAACCUCUAGGAAAUGAUGAUUAAUUGUAUUUCGUAGGGCAUUACAAAGACUUAAAUUUGUUGACAAAUAAGUAGUUACGCAGUACGACAUACUAUACAAAGUAACUCACGACGGCGAUACUUAACUAAUAAGAACAUUAAAAACCAUAACAGAGAUACGAUAUUAAUUAACAACCCGACAAUGAAUUAUUCCAGCUAGUUACACACUAGCACUAAAGUACAUGCGUCCAUGCACCCCAUUACUUAUUAAGUGAUAAGUGAUCAGCAUCACUAGCUUAGUUAAUUAGCUAUUUAACUAUUUUUAGGCACAAGCAUCUGCGACGUAAACCCAAGAACCAGCUACCAGUGAAGCCUUUAGUUUGGCAAACAACUGCAAAGUUACUUUUACUCAUGCAAUUUCCAGGGAAGCGGUUACUUUGAGAUUCGCAGGUCCUACCCUCAACAACUUUCGUCCCUUUAAACAAUUAUUCCAAACAAAAUAAGGUUACUAUGCAUGCUUAUAAUCGGAAUAAUAUAUAUAUAUUAACGAUGAAGUAAGUUAACAAGAUCGAGCAAGAAGAAAUACUACCGCCGGCGACCAAAAGCAGCAGGAAGAAGCAGAUAGUUGGGAGAAAACGCAUGGAACGCUUUUUAUGUAUAUAUAACAAGUUUACAUAUAAGAUUUCGAACUUAGGGCAACUUAGAAUGACACCAUUGAUAUAUAUCGUUAUAUAUAUAAGCUCUUAUAAAUUCAUACCAUAGCAAUACACCAGGGACGAAAUCUGAGUUCUAUAUGAAUUGGGACAUCCUAAAAAAUAAAGUCAUAAUUAAAAAGUAAGAAUUAACUAACAAUGCACAUAUAUUAAUCCAUAAAAUAUGUCAUACAUCAUAUUAUAAUAUCUCACAACGCAUUUCUAAGUUUUGAGCGUUGCUUAAUAAUUUAAUUACCAAUACCAUCAAAUAUUUGUUCCUAUAAAAAUAACCAUGUUUUCAUUCAUCUAUUAAUUUUCUUAUGAUUUCUUAAUUGAUACUUUAAAAAUUUCCGAAAAUACUUUAUCACGUGAAAUUAUAAUAUGCAAUAUGUACAAUUUUUUCAUAAAUAACUGAAUUAGGGCAUCAGCCCGUUGGGCCUAAGGUGGCUCAUAUGUUGGCAAUACCACACAUACUAUGUAGAAAAGUGAGAAAAAUACGAAAGUAUUUUAAAAGUGAGAGAAAAAUAUGAAAGUAUUUUAAGAAAAAAAAUUUGGAAGGGUCUUUUAAAGUGUUAUCAAGAAAAUAUCAAUCCUUAAGGACAAUUUCUUCUAAAAUAAAAUAAAAUAAAAAUAAACAAUUAAUAAGUCUUUGCUUAAAAGUUGCUUAACCAAUUUCGAACCUUUUCCUUUUUUUUUUCUUGUGCAUCAACCUCACCUUGUCUUACAUAUAUUACUACUGGUUUAAAAGUCAAAAGAACAUAAUACAACAGAAGGUGUGGAUAGAAAAGUACGUCUGAAAUCGACAAUGCGACUUAAAUAAUCUUUGUAACACAAAUUAAAGUAAUGCGUUGAAUCCAAGUACACUAAGUGAAAAUUUUCAAUAAAAUGCCUUGUCAAAACGGAAAAAAAAUAAAUUGUUAUUAGCAUUUGACGAUAAUUAUCUAUCACUCUUUCUUAAUUGAAAGUCAAUAAUCAAUAAUUAUCUAUCUAUCAUUGCGCGAGAAGAAGAAAGUAGCAGCCACUUCGGCCCUUCACAGCAGCGACCUUCCAAUCCACAACAAUGACUAAGAGGACGAAGAAGGCCGGUAUCGUUGGGAAAUAUGGAACCCGUUACGGUGCUAGUCUGCGUAAGCAGAUUAAGAAAAUGGAAGUCAGUCAGCACAGCAAGUAUUUCUGUGAAUUCUGUGGCAAGUAUGCUGUGAAGAGAAAGGCUGUUGGAAUCUGGGGAUGUAAGGACUGCGGAAAAGUUAAGGCGGGCGGUGCCUACACCUUGAACACUGCUAGUGCUGUGACGGUUAGGAGCACCAUUAGGAGGCUGAGGGAGCAAACCGAGAGUUAAGCUGCUGUUGGUGGCCUCUACCACUCUAUGAGCGUCUUGCAGCUAUGGAUAUCUCAAACAGUUUUGGGGAUGGUUCUCCUUUUGUUUGCUUAUAUUAUUUUGAAGAACUCGUUAGAUGCAUGUUGACUCAUUGUAGUGUGUUUAAUCUGAGAUCUUAGCUUCCACCUUUGAAUUCAGAAUGCAGUUUAAUAGUUAAAAAAAAAAAAAAAAAAAAAAAAGUCAAUAAACGAAAGAAGAGUUCAUGGUGACUGGAAUGUUAAUAAUAACCCUAACGAAAAGCAUAUAGGAUAAUAGACGAUUAAAAGUACGUAAGGUGCAGUGAAAACACUACACUAGACAUAUGAAUAAUGAUCUAUGCAGGGUCAUUCAAUUUAUUAGCAAAAGCAACCAUGUGGAUACAGGGUCAUAUCAAUCCAUCACAUUACACAAGCACGGUCUCUACAGAGAUUACAUUUCUUUUUAACUAAUUAAUUAACACUUUUUGGUGCACAUGCAUGUACGGGUCAAGCCACUACAUUUGCCUCUGGUGAAUUGCUCCUUUCUGCAGGUGUGUUUACAGUUGUUAGAGGAAAAGCACAACCCCUUGAACAAGGUGCUCGGAACCUCGCAGAUUUUUCCCUCAACUGCCUUGUUUGACUCAGUCAUUGCCUCAACACUUAUUGGCCCCAUCUCUAAUGAUCAAAAUUUUGUUGUUGAAUAAGAUGCUUUAUUCGAAACAUCAUAAAAAAUUAAUGAUAAUAAAGGGGUAUAAUUACCGGUAGCGGCCAAAAGUAGAACAAGAACGCAAACGGCUGAAACAAGACGCAUUGAACGCUCCAUUUGAAUCUGAGUGUAUGUGAGUAUGUGCUUGAUCCGUGUGUUUCUGUGUGUGUGCUUGAUUGUGAUAAGAGAGAUCUUAGCCGCUGAUGCAAAGAACAAUAACCAUGGAAGGCUUUUUAUACAGGGGUCUAGCCCAUAUUAAAAAGGAUUGGUCUCCGUAAAGCAAGGUAGCUCCAUACCCAAAAUACAAAGUUGAAAUUUCCAACUUAAGAGGCACCAUAAACAAAAUUUCUAAUUUUGAUGACUAAGUUCUCCGCCAUACAUUUUUCUAUGCAUACUAGGGUUUCUUUUUCAAGCACAUUUAACUUUUGCUUUUAAAAGAAUAGUUGGGUUAUAAGCACAUUUGACUUAUUAUUCAAAUUUUUAUAUGUAAAUGAAGUGGUGUGUGUGUGUGUGUGUAUCUCACAUAAAAGUCCAUAUUUCUUAUAACAAUAUAAUUGUUUUUUACACAAGUUUUAGUUUGUCUGUACCAAAUUAAUCUAAAUUAUAUAGAUCAGGAUUUGCACAUUAGGUGUAGACGAAGAUUACGUUGCUUUAGGUAACGUGGCUAAGCCUAAUAAAAAUGGAUGCUAAAGUCGAACCCUGAGGAAAUGAUGAUUAAUUGUAUUUCGUAGGGCAUUACAAAGACUUAAAUUUGUUGACAAAUAAGAAGUUACGCAGUAUGACGUAUUGUACAAAGUAACCCACAACGGUGAUACUUAACAAACAUGAACAUAAAAAACCAUAACAGAGAUACGAUGUCAAUUAAUCACCCAACAGUGAGUUAUUCCAACUAGUUCCACACUAGCACCAAAUUACGUGCAUCUAUGCACCACUAAUAAUUAAGUGAUAGUGAUAAGUGAUCAGCUCAUCACUAGCUUAAUUAAUUAGCUAAUUCACCAUUUUUUUGUGCAAAAGCAUCUGCGGCGUAAACCCAAGAACCAGCCACCAGUGAAGUGGUUACUCCAAGACUCGCAAGUCCUACCCUCAGCAAUUGUUGUCCCUUUGAACAAUUAUUCCAAACAAAAUAAGGUUACUAUGCAUGGUUAUAAACGGAAUAAUAUAUAUAGCAGAUAGUUGGGAGAAAACGCAUGGAACGCUUUUUAUGUAUAUAUAACAAGUUUACACUUAAGAUUUCGAACUUAGGGUAACUUAGAAUGACUAUUGAUAUAUAUAUAAGCUCUUAUAAAGUCAUACUAUAGCAAUACAUGAGAGACGAAGUUUGAGAUCGAUUUGACUUAGGACAUCCUAAAAAUAAAGUCAUAAAUUAAAAAGCUUAAGAAUUAACUAACAAAGCACAUAUAAUAAAUCAUAAAAUAUUUCAUACAACAUAGUACAAUAUCUCACAACGCAUUUUUAAGUUUUGAAAGCGUUGCAUAACAAUUUCAUUACCAAUAUCAUCAAAUAUCUAUUCCUAUCAAAAUAAUCAUGUUAUCAUUCAUCCAUUAAUUUUCUUACGAUUUAUCAUUUGAUCAUUUAGAAAUUUCAUAGCCGAAAAUACUCUAUGACAUGAAAUUAUAAUAUGCAAUAUAUGUAAAAAAAUUCACAAAAAACGAAGUUUGGGCAUCAGCUCCUUGGGCCAAGGUGGCUCCGUUCUUGGCAAUAUUACACAUACCAUGCAGAAAAGCGAGAGAAAAAUAUGAAAGUGUUGUAAGAAAGAAAAAAAUGUGGAAAAAGUCUUUUAAAAUGUUAUGAAGAAAAUAUUAAUCUUUAAGGACUAUUUCUUCUAAAAAAAUUAAAAAAAAACGAUGAAGUCUUUGCUUAAAAAUUGCUUAAGCAAUUUCGAACCUUUUUCUAAUUUUUUUUUCUUGUGCAUCAACCUCACCUUGUCUUAGAUAUAUUACUACUAGUUUAAAAGUCAAAGAACUUAAUACAACCGAAGGUGUCGAUAAAAAAAUACAUCUAAAAUCGACAAUGCUACUUAAAUAGUCUUUGUGACACAAAUUAAAGAAAUGUGUUGAAUCCAAGUACACUACGUGAAAUUUUUCAACAAAAAUGCCUUUUCAAAACGGAAAAAAAUAUAUUGUUAUUAGCAUUUGGCGAUAAUUAUCUAUCACUCUUUCUUAAUUGAAAGUCAAUAAAUGAAAGUAGAGUCUGUGGUGACUAUUUGGAAUGUUAAUAAUAACCCUGAAGAAAAACAUACAUGAUAGGCGAUUAAAAGUACAUAGGGCGUGGUGAAAACACUACACUAGACAUAUGAAUAAUGAUCAAUGUAGGGUCAUUCAAUUUAUUAGCAAAAGCAACCAUGUGAAUACAAGGCCAUAUCAAUCCAUCGCAUUACACAAACAUGGUCUCUACACAGAUUACAUUUCUUUUUAACAAAUUAAUUAGCACUUUUUGGUGCACAUGCAUGUACAGGUCAAGCCACUACAUUUCCCUCUGGUGAAUUGCUCCUUUUUGCAAGUGUGUUUACAAUUGUUAGAGGAAAAGCACAACCCCUUGAACAACGUGCUAGGAACCUCGCAAAUCUUUCCCUCAACUGCCUUGCUUGACUCAGUCCUAACCUCAACACUCAUUGGCCCCAUCUCUAAAGAUCAAAGUUUUUUGUUGAAUAAGAUGCUUUAUUCGAAACAUCAUAAAAAAUUAAUUAUUAAAAAGAGGUAUAAUUACCGGUAGCGGCCAAAAG
Molecule: long non-coding RNA, 18640 nt
Filed under: Malus domestica (apple)
Lineage: Eukaryota; Viridiplantae; Streptophyta; Magnoliopsida; Rosales; Rosaceae
Description: long non-coding RNA (MDOM_LNC011718)
Source: RNAcentral